UAAUGUCUGAGUCCCUCAUGUUCUCACAUGGAUAACUUCUUUUCACAGCUCCACCACCAGACAUGUAAUCACCGGGUUGUCAUUGCUACCUUAGUUUUUGAUCAUUGUCAUUAACAAUGUUAAACAAUGAUCAAAAACUUUCGUAGUUUCCCGACAUAGCAAAAUGAAGUUAAUGUACUGACUUGAUUCUCAAAAUUUGGUUGGGCUGGGCGCUAGUGACAAUUGUAUAUGAGCUCUGCUGUUUGGAUGAGAAGUUGAAUCGAGAAACCUUCAACUGGAAGGUGAAGGUGCGGCCGAAAUUUUUUUUUGAUGCAUUAUAGAAGGGCCGAACUCCGGGGGUCUUGGAGCCCUGCGUUCUGGUGAGGGAUAAUAUUUCAGUUACUUGAAUAUGCAGUUUACGUAAAAUACGGACAGAGAAAUGUGCGUAAGUUGGUAAGUGUUACCAUUUGUUGGGAGACCUCUCCAACCCUGGUAUUUGUCAACUAACUUAUUACAGUAUCAAAAGCUACAAACUCAGUUGAGUCAGAUGCAUCGGAGACUGUCACAUUAACAAUUUCAGAAUGUGACAUAUAAUGUCUAUAAAAGUUUACUAUCAACAAAGCUGGAAGGAGGAAGAAUUUUGUGCUGAUAAAACAUUACCUCACAACCCCAAUUGAAUUCUCUUUAUUACAUGAAACGCAAGUGAAGGAGGAGAAGCCUCGUUACAGUAUGCGAAAAAUCUUAGUGCACGAAAUGUAGCACCAUCAGUAGAUGGUAUCAAUGCCACUUACUACCCCAGUGCAUAGGAACUUAACGUUCUACAACAAUGUAAAUUAAGAGAGGCAAAGGUUAUCUUGUGUUUACCAGUGGGGAGGCGUUCAAAACAAAGGAAUUAAGCUCAGCCAAUGUUACCGACUCUAUCUUCCUCAAUGUCUGACGUGACAAUUUUGAAUCUCGCUCUUUCUUCUCCGGCCGAUCUCUCAUCUUUACCACCUCAUGAUGAUGUCCACGGGUCUCUGACAGAUAGGAACAAAGCAAAUAAAAAAAAUCAUCAGAUAAGCUUAAAUAUUUGAAGGAGGAGGUCGAAGCAAUCAAUACCUGAGAAUUUCCGUCUCUGUUUUGUAAUUCCAUUUGAAGAAGGCACGAUGGUAGAUGAUCGUCAAGCUUCCCUGGUUCAACAAAUAAAACAAUAUGCGUGAAUUCUUUUGUUACACCCGAGUUCUAGCUUCCCAACUCCGAGCAAUUGUGCUACUUCUCACCAAAUAUGUUUCAUAUGAAGCUAUCUUUUGAGUAUCCUCGGGUUU
Molecule: long non-coding RNA, 1283 nt
Filed under: Brassica rapa (field mustard)
Lineage: Eukaryota; Viridiplantae; Streptophyta; Magnoliopsida; Brassicales; Brassicaceae
Description: long non-coding RNA (BRAP_LNC003476)
Source: RNAcentral